CCAGACUCCUACGGGAGGCAGCAGUGGGGGAUAUUGCACAAUGGGGGAAACCCUGAUGCAGCAACGCCGCGUGAGUGAAGAAGUAUUUCGGUAUGUAAAGCUCUAUCAGCAGGGAAGAAGAAAGACGGUACCUGACUAAGAAGCCCCGGCUAACUACGUGCCAGCAGCCGCGGUAAUACGUAGGGGGCAAGCGUUAUCCGGAUUUACUGGGUGUAAAGGGAGCGUAGACGGCAUAGCAAGUCUGAAGUGAAAGCCCGGGGCCCAACCCCGGGACUGCUCUUGGAACUGCGCGGCUGGAGUGCAGGAGGGGCAGGCGGAAUUCCUGGUGUAGCGGUGAAAUGCGUAGAUAUCGGGAGGAACACCGGUGGCGAAGGCGGCCUGCUGGACUGCGACUGACGUUGAGGCCCGAAAGCGUGGGGAGCAAACAGGAUUAGAUACCCCUGUAGC
Molecule: ribosomal RNA, 447 nt
Filed under: uncultured bacterium
Lineage: Bacteria
Description: partial 16S ribosomal RNA
Rfam family: Bacterial small subunit ribosomal RNA
Source: RNAcentral